AUCCGCAUUAACAGUUCAUAAGAACUUCAUCUCUUAGACGGAUACCAUACUCCCAACUAGGCCAUCAAAUGAUAGCCCUACAAAGUAAAAAAGAAGAGAACAGGGAAAAGAAGAGAACAUAGGAAAAGCCAUAAUUUAAUUCGCCGAGUUGUAAAAUCAUAUAGCUGCAAAGAUUUUUGUCAGCCCGUGUUCCUCAUACCAGCAGCAAUACCAUUUAUGGUAAUAAGCAGUGCAUCUCUGAGUUUAUGAUUGUCAUCAUCGCUUCUCAACCUCUUUAGAAUCUCAACCUGCAACAUGUUCAUUGGAUUGAGGUAAGGGAGCCUGCUCUCAAUGAGCCUCCUCAAGCUCCGGUUGUUUUCUGAUAGCCUCUCAUGCCCACUAACCACCAAUACAAACUUCUCCGUCGUUAAGAGUUCUCUUCUUAGUGCAGCACCGAGUUCUCUCCUGCUCUCAUUAGAUACAAGGACUUCAUCGUAGUGCUUCGCUAUAGGAACGUCUGCCUUCCCCAAAACCAUCUCUAUAAGAUCUAUGGUAGAUUGGAAGAAAGGCCAUUCUUUGUACAUUGCUUUCAAAUCUUGGGUGUGUCCCUCCUCACAAACACCCUUCAAACCUGCCCCAACUCCAAGCCAUGCUGGAAGAACAAAUCUUGUUUGGGUCCAGGCAAAUACCCAUGGAAUGGCACGAAGAUGUCCAAUUCCUGUUGAGCUCUUUCUUCUUGUGGGUCGGCUUCCUAUGUUGAGGAAACCAAGCUCCGCUUGUGGAGUAGCCUCAUGGAAGUACGCAAGAAACUCUGGGUUUUCAUAUACCGUGCUCCGGUAACUUUGGCAGCUGAUUUUUGAAAUAAGGCAGAACUUCUUUGGAUAAUCUCUUCGGCAUAUAAUUGAUUUUCUUCCUCUCGUGUUAUUCCAGAGAAAAGUCUUCAUCACCAUAUUUAGACCGGAACUACUGGACACAAAUACAGAAUGGUUGAUGUAAUUGGUUAACACAUGGUAUUGCUCAUGUGCGGGGUUGCGAUGAUUAUCUUUUUGAAUUAGGAUAAUCUGGAAUGAUAAGGGUAGAAAAAACAAGAAAUUAUUAUUUUUUAUUAACAAAAAAUAAUAAUAAUAAUUUAAUCACUUAAAAUCUUAACUGGUCUCAGAAUUAGAAAAAAAAAACUAAUUACAUAAAAGAAAAGGUAUUAGCUCUUUUAAUAUGUAUUAUCUAAGGUAAGCUAUAUUUUAUAUUUAUCUGGUAUAAACAAAAAAAAAAGUUGUGUUUUCUUUUUUAUUUCCUUUUUUUUUUCAACCCCUAUUCUCGAUCUCAAAGGAGUAUUUAUAGGAUUUUGGAAUGUCUUGAAUCCAUUUCAGACCUUUUAUUCUUGAAAAGAGUGUUGUGAACCCUUGAUAAUAACUCAUUGAAGAGCCUUUGUGUAUGAACACUCGAAAACCUUGAUAAAAAUCCAUUUUUAGUCUAAAAAAUCACUAGAAAAACAUUAGCAACAUCUAGAUGUUUGUUUUAUAUUUUUUUAAAAAAAAAAAACGGAUCCAAUACACAGCAUAACAUGGACCAAUGAUCUAGUAUAUAAAGUGUUUGGCUUUUCACUACAGUAAUAAAUAGGAAAAGCCAAGCACUUUUUCACUUUGAUCCUUGAAACUUUUUAGAAUUUUUUUUAUUUUUUUUAAUUUAAUCCUUCAAUAUUAGGUUUGCUGGGUAUAAAACUUCAUAAUUUAUUUCAAUUUAUUUUUUAUGUUAUCCUGGUGUUAUGACUCAGGUCGUGAGUUUUAUAUAGCCGUGUUGACUCAUGUCAUGUUUUUUGUUUAUUUUUUUAUUAAUUGUUUUAAAUUUCAUCCUUCAACAUUGAGUUUAUUAGGAAUCUGAAUUCAUAAUAUUUUUCUAUUAGCUUUCUAUAGAGUUAUUCUGGUCUUUUGAUCCGGGUUUUUCAAGUUAAUCCAAUUUGACUUAGAUCAUUUUUUUUGUUCUUUUUUUAUUUGAUUUUUUUUUCUAAUUUAGUCCUUUAAAAUUGGGUUAAUUGAGAAUUGAGAUAUAUAUAUAUAUAUAUAUAUAUAUAUGGUGUUAUCACGGUCUUAUAACUCGGGUCUUGGAUUAAGCCGGUUAACUCAAGUUUUUUUUGUCUUUUUAGUUUAUUUUUUUAAUUUUAUUCUUUAAUAUUAAGUUGGUUAAGAAUUAGGUUUCAUAAUUAUUUCGGUUUGCAUUCUAUGAAAUUAUUUUAGUCUCUUGACUCGAGUCACGAGUUUGGUUUGUUAACUCAAGUGAUUUUUUGUACUUUUUUUUAAAAUUUCAUCCUUUAACAUUGAGUGAUUUGAGUUUCAUAAUUUGUUUUGACUUGUUUUUCAAGAGGAUAUCUCGGUCUUGUAACCCAUAUUUGGUAGAUUAAUCCAAGUUGACUUACCUUGUUUUUUUAGUUGAUUUUUGUUUUUAAUUUUAUCAUUCAAUAAUAGAUUGAUUGAGAAUUUGAUCUAAUAUUUUAUUUUAUAUUUUGCUUUCUAUAUGAUUAUUAGAGUAUCUUGACUUGGUUAAUGGAUUUAAUAAGUUAAUUGAAGUUGAUAUAAUAAUUGUUUUUAAAUCAAAUUAUAUUUUUAUAUGUCAUUCAAGUUAUCUUUAAAGUUGACUAGGUUAUAUAAGUUCAAUUUUUAUAUAGUUUAAUUAAAAAAAUACAUUAAUAAUACUUGAAUAUUUUUUUUACAUUAAAAAAAUUAAUCUGACUCAUGAUGUAACAAUAAUUUAGUUUAAUGCUAAAAUUAAAUAAGAAAGUAAUUGGUGAACACAUGUAAAAUUCAAUUUAAAACGAACCUCGAUGUUUGCACUUUGCAGCAUCCCGGUUGCUGAAAUAAAUAAAUAUCAAGCGUACGGGAAAAAAGCAAAUUUAUGUUUUUUUUAUUAUUAUUUUUCCUUUUUCUCUUUAUUCAGAAGCCGUUGUCUCGAAGGUGAACUUCCUUCUUCUAUUCCUUGUAAUUUCUAGUUCUAUCCUAAAAACGUCUCCUUGCUAAAAAGAGAGUUGCUCCCGUGACAAUCUUACACAAAACACUAUAGCACGCAAUAUUUUUCUUUUUUAUUAUUUCUAUAUAAUAAAAUUUAUGAUUUUUUUUUCCUUUUAAUUUCUUAGCAGCGGUUGUCUUUCACUUUCUUGAAACCAAGGGUUGCACAGCAAAACAAAGCCAGCCCAGAUAUGGCCCAGAACCUUUCUUUUAAGCCCAAUGGCAGAUCUCUCCCUCCUCCUUCUAAUAGCUCUUCUCCUCACAGAUCUCUCCCUCCUCCUUCAAGGAGUAACAUCUGACCCAUCUACGCUAGUCUAGCAGAGUUUAUUGAUGAACAAGAAGACAAUUGCAAGCGAGCAUACAAAGUUUGAGUCAUUUCCAUAAUUUACAAGUCGGUCGAAAGAGAAUUAAGUGAUUUGCAUUUCAAGAAACGAAAUCCACUUAAUUGUAUUAUUAUCCGCAUUAACAUUUCAUAAGAACUUCAUCUCUUAGACGGAUACCAUACUCCCAACUAGGCCAUCAAACGAUAGCCCUAAAAGGUCAAAAAGAAGAUAACAGGGAAAAGAAGAGAACAUAGGAAAAGCCAUAAUUUAAUUCGCCGAGUUGUAAAAUCAUAGAGCUGCAAAGAUUUUUGUCAGCCCGUGUUCCUCAUACCAGCAGCAAUACCAUUUAUGGUAAUAAGCAGUGCAUCUCUGAGUUUAUGAUUGUCAUCAUCGCUUCUCAACCUCUUUAGAAUCUCAACCUGCAACAUGUUCAUUGGAUUGAG
Molecule: long non-coding RNA, 3741 nt
Filed under: Populus tremula
Lineage: Eukaryota; Viridiplantae; Streptophyta; Magnoliopsida; Malpighiales; Salicaceae
Description: long non-coding RNA (PTRE_LNC002775)
Source: RNAcentral